AUGCAAGUCGAGGGGCAGCAUUUUAGUUUGCUUGCAAACUAAAGAUGGCGACCGGCGCACGGGUGAGUAACACGUAAACAACCUGCCUUCAGGAUGGGGACAACAGACGGAAACGACUGCUAAUACCCGAUGGCAUAGUUUUCCCGCAUGGGAUAAUUAUUAAAGAAUUUCGGUUGUCGAUGGGGAUGCGUUCCAUUAGGCAGUUGGCGGGGUAACGACCCACCAAACCAACGAUGGAUAGGGGUUCUGAGAGGAAGGUCCCCACAUUGGAACUGAGACACGGUCCAAACUCC
This 293-nucleotide ribosomal RNA is filed under the name uncultured bacterium. RNAcentral describes it as "partial 16S ribosomal RNA". It matches the Rfam family "Bacterial small subunit ribosomal RNA", at positions 55 to 339 of the family's 1533-position model. The record is from RNAcentral.